Molecule: ribosomal RNA, 468 nt
Filed under: uncultured bacterium
Lineage: Bacteria
Description: partial 16S ribosomal RNA
Rfam family: Bacterial small subunit ribosomal RNA
Source: RNAcentral
GACGAACGCUGGCGGCGUGCUUAACACAUGCAAGUCGAACGGAAAGGCCCUGCUUUUGUGGGGUGCUCGAGUGGCGAACGGGUGAGUAACACGUGAGUAACCUGCCCUUGACUUUGGGAUAACUUCAGGAAACUGGGGCUAAUACCGGAUAGGAGCUCCUGCUGCAUGGUGGGGGUUGGAAAGUUUCGGCGGUUGGGGAUGGACUCGCGGCUUAUCAGCUUGUUGGUGGGGUAGUGGCUUACCAAGGCUUUGACGGGUAGCCGGCCUGAGAGGGUGACCGGCCACAUUGGGACUGAGAUACGGCCCAGACUCCUACGGGAGGCAGCGGUGGGGAAUAUUGCACAAUGGGCGGAAGCCUGAUGCAGCAACGCCGCGUGCGGGAUGACGGCCUUCGGGUUGUAAACCGCUUUCGCCUGUGACGAAGCGUGAGUGACGGUAAUGGGUAAAGAAGCACCAGCUAACUACGUG